GUGGGGAAUAUUGGGCAAUGGGCGAAAGCCUGACCCAGCAACGCCGCGUGAAGGAAGAAGGUUUUCGGAUCGUAAACUUCUAUCCUUGGUGAAGAUAAUGACGGUAGCCAAGAAGGAAGCCCCGGCUAACUACGUGCCAGCAGCCGCGGUAAUACGUAGGGGGCAAGCGUUGUCCGGAAUGAUUGGGCGUAAAGGGCGCGUAGGCGGCCCGGUAAGUCUGAAGUGAAAGUCCUGCUUUUAAGGUGGGAAUUGCUUUGGAUACUGUCGGGCUUGAGUGCAGGAGAGGUAAGCGGAAUUCCCGGUGUAGCGGUGAAAUGCGUAGAGAUCGGGAGGAACACCAGUGGCGAAGGCGGCUUACUGGACUGUAACUGACGCUGAGGCGCGAAAGUGUGGGGAGCAAACAGGAUUAGAUACCCCGGUAGUCC
This 425-nucleotide ribosomal RNA is filed under the name uncultured bacterium. RNAcentral's name for it is "partial 16S ribosomal RNA". It matches the Rfam family "Bacterial small subunit ribosomal RNA", at positions 354 to 796 of the family's 1533-position model. The record is from RNAcentral.